This is a long non-coding RNA of Stomoxys calcitrans (stable fly), 816 nucleotides long. RefSeq lists it as uncharacterized. The transcript has 2 exons. The record is from RefSeq and is a predicted model, not a curated record. NCBI's taxonomy places the organism in Eukaryota, Metazoa, Arthropoda, Insecta, Diptera, Muscidae.
CCCAUAUAUCACAUAUUAACAAUUUUUAACAUCAACAAUCACAAAUUAAUCAAAUUUUAGAAAUUUGACAUUGCGAAGGCAAAUAUGGCAUCAUUGCUAUCUGGGUGAAACCAAGUUUCGGAGACACAGAUGGCAUCUAUCUCAGAACCUUCAAAAAGCUGUCGCAAUUCAUCAAUUCUGUUGGUGUAAGGGUGUAAGCUUUGCCAAGAUUCGUAUCAUUGUGAAAUUCUCGUCUCUGGAACCGGAAACAUAGCUACUCAUAAUUUAUGAUUUUAGCAGAAUUCAACACAUCGAAAUUGUAGAAGAUGAAACUUAAAUAUGCAGUAUAAAUAUGAUUGUCCGCGACUGCAAUUGCAGCUACUCCAUAUCCGCAACCUGUGGCUAAGCUUCUCGUCACGACGAAGAACAUCACACAAAUCGAUGGUCCCUCUUUUUAAUGAUAAAUUUAAUGUGCUAUUUCGUCGCUGUCGCAAUCAUGUCAUUUGACCCCGAAAAAUUUCUUUCAUUGGGAUUUGGCAGUGAAAAAUGUACACCUUUUAGCCAAACAACACUUCAAAGUUUAAAAUGUGAAAUAGUUUGGCAAUUUUCUACAUUUGAUUUAAAUUAUGUCUUAAAGAUUUUAAAAAAUAUAUGUAGCGUAGCGCAGAGGUAGCAUGUUCGCCUUUGACGGUCAAGCUGUGUCGAAAAGUUGCUAAAAAAUGUUUGCUCAUAAUUCCAAUAGAUCCUUUAUACAUAAAAAAAAUAUUUAGUACAAUUAAUCAUAGCGCUUGAUGAUUGCACAUCCCUUAAUAAAAAAAAAUAAUAAUGAUGGAAAAA